UACAGAGGGGGCAAGCGUUGUCCGGAAUCACUGGGCGUAAAGGGCGCGUAGGCGGCCUGGUAAGUAGGGGGUGAAAUCUUGCGGCUCAACUGCAAGGCUGCCUCCUAAACUGCCGGGCUGGAGCACGGUAGAGGCAGAUGGAAUUCCCGGUGUAGCGGUGGAAUGCGUAGAGAUCGGGAAGAACAUCGGUGGCGAAGGCGGUCUGCUGGGCCGUUGCUGACGCUGAGGCGCGACAGCGUGGGGAGCAAACAGG
This 253-nucleotide ribosomal RNA is filed under the name uncultured bacterium. RNAcentral describes it as "partial 16S ribosomal RNA". It matches the Rfam family "Bacterial small subunit ribosomal RNA", at positions 524 to 776 of the family's 1533-position model. The record is from RNAcentral.